RNAcentral lists this ribosomal RNA (429 nucleotides) under Actinomycetes bacterium. Its description in RNAcentral is "Actinobacteria bacterium partial 16S ribosomal RNA". It matches the Rfam family "Bacterial small subunit ribosomal RNA", at positions 355 to 776 of the family's 1533-position model. The record is from RNAcentral. Lineage: Bacteria; Bacillati; Actinomycetota; Actinomycetes.
UAGGGAAUCUUCCGCAAUGGGCGAAAGCCUGACGGAGCAACGCCGCGUGAGUGAUGAAGGUCUUCGGAUCGUAAAACUCUGUUAUUAGGGAAGAACAAAUGUGUAAGUAACUAUGCACGUCUUGACGGUACCUAAUCAGAAAGCCACGGCUAACUACGUGCCAGCAGCCGCGGUAAUACGUAGGUGGCAAGCGUUAUCCGGAAUUAUUGGGCGUAAAGCGCGCGUAGGCGGUUUUUUAAGUCUGAUGUGAAAGCCCACGGCUCAACCGUGGAGGGUCAUUGGAAACUGGAAAACUUGAGUGGAGAAGAGGAAAGUGGAAUUCCAUGUGUAGCGGUGAAAUGCGCAGAGAUAUGGAGGAACACCAGUGGCGAAGGCGACUUUCUGGUCUGUAACUGACGCUGAUGUGCGAAAGCGUGGGGAUCAAACAGG